RNAcentral lists this ribosomal RNA (429 nucleotides) under Gemmatimonadota bacterium. Its description in RNAcentral is "Gemmatimonadetes bacterium partial 16S ribosomal RNA". It matches the Rfam family "Bacterial small subunit ribosomal RNA", at positions 355 to 776 of the family's 1533-position model. Lineage: Bacteria; Pseudomonadati; Gemmatimonadota. The record is from RNAcentral.
UAGGGAAUCUUCGGCAAUGGACGAAAGUCUGACCGAGCAACGCCGCGUGAGUGAAGAAGGUUUUCGGAUCGUAAAACUCUGUUGUUAGAGAAGAACAAGGACGUUAGUAACUGAACGUACCCUGACGGUAUCUAACCAGAAAGCCACGGCUAACUACGUGCCAGCAGCCGCGGUAAUACGUAGGUGGCAAGCGUUGUCCGGAUUUAUUGGGCGUAAAGCGAGCGCAGGCGGUUUCUUAAGUCUGAUGUGAAAGCCCCCGGCUCAACCGGGGAGGGUCAUUGGAAACUGGGAGGCUUGAGUGCCGAAGAGGAGAGUGGAAUUCCAUGUGUAUCGGUGACAUGCGUAGAUAUAUGGAGGAACACCAGUGGCGAAGGCGGCUCUCUGGUCUGUAACUAACGCUGAGGCUCGAAAGCGUGGGGAGCAAACAGG